RNAcentral lists this long non-coding RNA (442 nucleotides) under Cricetulus griseus (Chinese hamster). Its description in RNAcentral is "lncRNA (ENSCGRG00015030991.1)". Lineage: Eukaryota; Metazoa; Chordata; Mammalia; Rodentia; Cricetidae. The record is from RNAcentral.
UUCACUUUGCUGCUUGCUGUACAGACUGUGCCACGCAGGCUGGCUAGGUCGCUCUCACAAAGGGGACUUACUUCCAUGGAGGAGCAAGGAGAGAUGAAGGCUGCCUCUGGAUCAGACAAAGGCAAACAGCAAGCACCAAGUGAUUUUUUUUGCAGAAGUUGGUUUUAAGAAGAAAAGCCAGGAGGCUGUACUAAGAUGAAUUGGAUUCCUGAGCUCUGCCAAAUGUUGGGCUGUGGGUCUCUGUGUCUGUUCCCAUCAGUUGCUGGAUGAAGCCUCUCCGAUGACAGUUGACCUCGAGAACCAAUCUAUGAGUAUUGCAGAAUAUCAUUACAAAUUAUUUCACUUGUGGCAUCCAAACCACAACUAAGUCUGAGUAUUGGGUGAAAGCCUGGAGAUUUAAUUAAAAGACGAGACAUCCGGCUGCUCAUGCUAUGUGCAUCUG